This 357-nucleotide unclassified non-coding RNA is filed under the name soil metagenome. RNAcentral describes it as "partial contains 5.8S ribosomal RNA, internal transcribed spacer 2, and large subunit ribosomal RNA". The stretch from base 1 to 120 matches the Rfam family "5.8S ribosomal RNA", at positions 35 to 154 of the family's 154-position model. The record is from RNAcentral.
GAUGAAGAACGUAGCGAAAUGCGAUAAGUAAUGUGAAUUGCAGAAUUUAGUGAAUCAUCGAAUCUUUGAACGCAUAUUGCGCCCGCCAGCACUCUGGCGGGCAUGCCUGUUCGAGCGUCAUUUCAACCCUCAGGCCUCGUGUCUGGCGUUGGGGCGCUGCGGCCCUCCCGCAGGCCCCCGAAUAUAGCGGCGGACCCGUCCGGCCCUGAGCGCAGAGGGAGUAAACUCGAACGCUCCGGCGGCCGUGGCGCGGUUAUUCCUUCCGCCUUGUAGCGCUAAUGGCGCCACCCCCCAAUAAGUUGACCUCGGAUCAGGUAGGACUACCCGCUGAACUUAAGCAUAUCAAUAAGCGGAGGA